This 464-nucleotide ribosomal RNA is filed under the name uncultured bacterium. Its description in RNAcentral is "partial 16S ribosomal RNA". It matches the Rfam family "Bacterial small subunit ribosomal RNA", at positions 28 to 507 of the family's 1533-position model. The record is from RNAcentral.
GACGAACGCUGGCGGCGUGCUUAACACAUGCAAGUCGAACGCUGAACCCGCUUCGGUUGGGGACUAGUGGCCAACGGUUGAGUAACACGUGGCAACCUUCCCCCGGCUCUGGGAUAACUCCAAGAAAUUUGGGCUAAUACCGUAUUUGACCGCUGGACGCAUGGUCGUGUGUUUGGAAGUGGUUCCGGCUGGGGAUGGUGACGCGGCCUAUCAGCUUGUUGGCGGGGUAAUGGCCUAACAAGGCGACGACGGGUAGCCUGCCUGGGAGGGUGACCGGCCACACUGGCAAUGGGACAGGGCCCCGCCUCCUACGGGAGGAAGUAGUGGGGAUCAUUGCGCAAUGGGCGGAAGCCUGACGUAGCGACGCCGCGUGGGGGACGAAGGCCUUAGGGUUGUAAAACUCUUACAGCAGGGACGAAGCGAAAGUGACGGUACCUGCAGAAGAAGCACCGGCUAACUACGUG